AUACCACGAUGUGGACAUUUUUGCAACAAGUCCUUAAAGCGUUCUCAAGUCUCACACAAAGACUCAUAAUCAAGCUACAUAAAGUCGAUAGCUUCAUUUUUAAGCUU
This is a small nucleolar RNA of Gossypium raimondii (Peruvian cotton), 107 nucleotides long. It matches the Rfam family "Plant small nucleolar RNA R71". From Rfam's summary of the family: R71 is a member of the C/D box family of snoRNAs containing the C (UGAUGA) and D (CUGA) box motifs. Multiple nearly identical copies of this snoRNA have been identified in Arabidopsis, and it is thought to function as a 2'-O-ribose methylation guide for 18S ribosomal RNA. Lineage: Eukaryota; Viridiplantae; Streptophyta; Magnoliopsida; Malvales; Malvaceae. The record is from Rfam.